This 245-nucleotide ribosomal RNA is filed under the name uncultured bacterium. RNAcentral's name for it is "partial 16S ribosomal RNA". It matches the Rfam family "Bacterial small subunit ribosomal RNA", at positions 524 to 776 of the family's 1533-position model. The record is from RNAcentral.
UACGUAGGGGCGAGCGUUGUCCGGAGUUACUGGCGUAAGCGCACGCAGGCGGUCUGUUAAGUUUGGAGUGACAGUUGGUGGCUUAACUGCCAAAGUGCUUCGAAACUGACAGACUUGAGGGCUUCAGAGGGACACGGAAUCCGGGUGGAGUGGUGAAUGCGUAGAGAUCCGGAGGAACACCAAUGGCGAAGGCAGUGUCCUGGAAGUACCUGACGCUCAGGUGCGAAGCUAGGGGAGCGAACAGG